ACCGAUUCAGGGGAAUCUUGGCGUGAAUAUUUCAAUUCGGAACGGCGGAAACCGACAUUGGUCCCUGCCGAAUCACCGAUUUUGAAACGCUGAGUGCACUCAGUGCAGCACGUCGCGCGUUUCUUCUACCCACGAGGCUACGACAUAGCAAAAGACUCUCAUCUCUGCGACUAUCGUCUUUUUGCAGUGACUACCAUGGCUCUCUCCUCCUGCACUUCGUACAUUUCCACUCCCAUCUCCUUUUCUCUUUCCUCCCCUUUCAGAAGCGGAACAUCUGAGGUUGUUACUCUGAAUGCCUUUUCCCUUUCUUUUACUCAGCGCCUUCACUCCUCAAUCCCUUCCGUUUCGUCCUUCCCCACAACCACGAUAAAACCCAUCUUCUUAAGGUUCUCCAUAGAGCCUCCGAGGGUGGCAGCACAGCAGAAAUAUGUUUAUCCCGACCCAAUUCCAGAAUUUGCAGAGGCUGAAACCCAGAAGUUCAGGGGCGAGCUUCUGAAGAAGCUCUCCAAGGACAGGGAGACGUUUGGAGAAGAACUCGAUGCGGUCGUAAAGGUCUGUGCUGAGAUUUUGUGUUAUACACACCAAGGAGGAAAUAUUCAGAACUGGAGAAUUUUUGGUGGAACAGAUCUGGAGAUUGGCAUAAAAAUAUAAGGUUGAUGGAAGAGCUUCAUUCUCCUACUAUGUUCAUUCAUGUGGGUAAACCGUCUUUUAACCCUCCAAGUUGAUAUUCAGUGAUUUCCUGCACAAGGAGUAUGGAGGCCCUGGAACGUUAUUGGUGGAACCUUUCACAGAUAUGCUAGUUGCUCUUAAGGAGAAGAAGCUGCCAGGAGCACCUGUGGCUGCACGGGCUGCACUUUUA
Molecule: RNA transcript, 859 nt
Organism: Macadamia integrifolia
Lineage: Eukaryota; Viridiplantae; Streptophyta; Magnoliopsida; Proteales; Proteaceae
Gene name: protein PLASTID REDOX INSENSITIVE 2, chloroplastic-like
Exons: 4
Source: RefSeq, a predicted model, not a curated record